GACAAGCGGAGGAGCAUGUGGUUUAAUUCGAUGAUACGCGAGGAACCUUACCUGGGCUUAAAUGCUUAAUGACGUACUGGGAAACUGGUAUUUCUUCGGACAUUUUGCAAGGUGCUGCAUGGUUGUCGUCAGCUCGUGCCGUGAGGUGUCGGGUUAAGUCCCAUAACGAGCGCAACCCCUAUGUUAGUUGCCAUCAGGUCAUGCUGGGGACUCUAACAAAACUGCCCGCGUAAGCGUGGAGGAAGGUGGGGAUGACGUCAAAUCAGCACGGCCCUUACGUCCAGGGCUACACACGUGCUACAAUGGCCGGUACAGAGGGCAGCCACUUGGUGACAAGGAGCAAAUCUCAAAAGCCGGUCUCAGUUCGGAUCGGAGUCUGCAACUCGACUCCGUGAAGUUGGAUUCGCUAGUAAUCGUAGAUCAGCAAUGCUACGGUGAAUACGUUCCCGGGCCUU
This 455-nucleotide ribosomal RNA is filed under the name uncultured Bacteroidota bacterium. RNAcentral's name for it is "bacterial SSU rRNA". It matches the Rfam family "Bacterial small subunit ribosomal RNA", at positions 924 to 1382 of the family's 1533-position model. The record is from RNAcentral. Lineage: Bacteria; Pseudomonadati; Bacteroidota.